CCUACGGGGCGCACCAGUGGGGAAUAUUGCACAAUGGGCGCAAGCCUGAUGCAGCCAUGCCGCGUGUAUGAAGAAGGCCUUAGGGUUGUAAAGUACUUUCAGUUGGGAGGAAGGCGUUGAUGCUAAUAUCAUCAGCGAUUGACGUUACCAACAGAAGAAGCACCGGCUAACUCCGUGCCAGCAGCCGCGGUAAUACGGAGGGUGCAAGCGUUAAUCGGAAUUACUGGGCGUAAAGCGCAUGCAGGCGGCCUGUUAAGUCAGAUGUGAAAGCCCGGGGCUUAACCUCGGAAUUGCAUUUGAAACUGGCAGGCUAGAGUCUUGUAGAGGGGGGUAGAAUUCCAUGUGUAGCGGUGAAAUGCGUAGAGAUGUGGAGGAAUACCGGUGGCGAAGGCGGCCCCCUGGACAAAGACUGACGCCCAGGUGCGAAAGCGUGGGGAGCAAACAGGAUUAGAUACCCCGGUAGUC
This 465-nucleotide ribosomal RNA is filed under the name uncultured bacterium. RNAcentral's name for it is "bacterial SSU rRNA". It matches the Rfam family "Bacterial small subunit ribosomal RNA", at positions 338 to 795 of the family's 1533-position model. The record is from RNAcentral.